UACGUAGGGUGCGAGCGUUGUCCGGAACUAUUGGGCGUAAAGGGCUCGUAGGCGGUUUGUCGCGUCGGGAGUGAAAUCCACUGGCUUAACUGGUGGCUUGCUUUCGAUACGGGCAGACUGGAGGUAUGCAGGGGAGAACGGAAUUCCUGGUGUAGCGGUGAAAUGCGCAGAUAUCAGGAGGAACACCGGUGGCGAAGGCGGUUCUCUGGGCAUGUCCUGACGCUGAGGAGCGAAAGUGUGGGGAGCGAACAGG
Molecule: ribosomal RNA, 253 nt
Filed under: uncultured bacterium
Lineage: Bacteria
Description: partial 16S ribosomal RNA
Rfam family: Bacterial small subunit ribosomal RNA
Source: RNAcentral